UACAGUGAAGUGUGAACUCUGAAAUGUGAAUGUUUAAAAUACCUGUGGAUGUUUUACUAAAUCUGUGGAGCCUGGUGUCAUUUUCCACUGAAUAUUCAAAUAACUUAAUAUUUAGACUAAAUGGAUCCACUAGAAGACGAGAUAUGUCAUGUAUGCUUAGAUUCUGGAAGAAAAAUUAUCAAACCUACAUGAUUGUAGUCUCAAGGAAUGUUUCAAACUUAUUUUUAAAAAGCUACAGUUUCUAUGGAACCAACUAUAUUUUGAAUGUGUGGCUAUACUCAUAAAGAUUAAGAGAUUUUAAGAAAAAGUAAUAAGCUCAGAAAAUCUUUGGAAGUCAAUGAAGAAGAUAUAAUAAAUGAAGACUUAAAACUGGAUUUAUUGAAAGACUUCACUGAGAAAAACAUUUAUACUGAGGUGAAAUUGAGUAGGGAGGAAAUAAAAAUAUGUGAUGCUUAUGUCAAUGCUAUGCUUAAGUGUGAGUUGUGUAUAACUACAUAUACAAAUAAUCAAGAUCUAAAAGAACAAAUAAGUGACAAACAUGGUGAAAAAACUAAAUACAUCUGUACAAUAUGCAAGUGCACAUUUAAUUCUGCCAUAUUAUUUAAAUACCACACAGAUAGACAUAAAAAACGUUAUUAGUGCAUGGUCUGUAACAUAAGAUUUUCAUACAGAAAGGAUGUCAUCAAACAAUACAAUCUUGUACACUGUCAUGGGUAUGUUUUGCCUACUUAUCUCUGAACAGGGCCGUCUUAAACAAGGCUGGGGCCCUUGGGCACACAAGAACUUGGGGCCCUUUUGGAAAGUAAAAAGCGAGUUAUAAUAAAAAAUAAGUAUGACCAUUUAUAAUAUGUAAUCAAGUGUAAUAAUAAUAAUUUAUUUAUUUUUCUCCCUUAAUCCUUAUUAUUAUUAAAUUAUUUACCUUUCUCCCGCAUGCGUGU
Molecule: long non-coding RNA, 938 nt
Organism: Pieris rapae (cabbage white)
Lineage: Eukaryota; Metazoa; Arthropoda; Insecta; Lepidoptera; Pieridae
Exons: 5
Source: RefSeq, a predicted model, not a curated record